Molecule: long non-coding RNA, 422 nt
Filed under: Trifolium pratense (red clover)
Lineage: Eukaryota; Viridiplantae; Streptophyta; Magnoliopsida; Fabales; Fabaceae
Description: long non-coding RNA (TPRA_LNC008763)
Source: RNAcentral
AUAACCAAGAGCAACAAUCAGCAGCCAAAAGAUCAUGUGAACCAUCUGAGAGAGUAAGCAACAUCCAAAGAGAAAAAGAACAAUCAAUUAACCAAAUUGUGAGCACAAUCAAUAAAAAAAAAUCAAAUUGUAAACACUUAACUCACCAAACAAACAAAUUCAAACAAAUUUCCAAAUUAAUGGAACCAAACCAACGAAGCCAAAUCAAACCGAACCAAACGAAACCAAAUCAAAUCAAGACAUACAAACCAAUAAACCAAAGCGAACCAAUCAAACCAAAUAAAACAGAACCAAACCAAACGAACCAAAUAGACUGAUCUAAAUGAAACCACACAUAAUCAAAUCAAACAAAUUCAAAUGAACCAUACAAAACAAACCAAAUCAACUGAAAUUCACCAAAAUACCAACUCAAGAUAAGAAAC